Molecule: ribosomal RNA, 253 nt
Filed under: uncultured bacterium
Lineage: Bacteria
Description: partial 16S ribosomal RNA
Rfam family: Bacterial small subunit ribosomal RNA
Source: RNAcentral
UACGAAGGGGGCUAGCGUUGUUCGGAUUUACUGGGCGUAAAUCGCACGUAGGCGGAUCGUUAAGUGAGGGGUGAAAUCCCAGGGCUCAACCCUGGAACUGCCUUUCAUACUGGCGAUCUAGAGUCCGGAAGAGGUGAGUGGAACUCCUAGUGUAGAGGUGGAAUUCGUAGAUAUCGAGAGGAACACCGGUGGCGAAGGCGGCCUUCUGGACAGCAACUGACGCUGAGACGCGAAAGCGUGGGGAGCAAACAGG